AGGUAUACAAUACACGCGUAUUUAAUCAUUCCUCAUACGAAUAACGAAGGACUAAACAGUGGUACGCGUUCAUAUUUCAUUCCAUACAACACCAUUGACCCAAAAGGUCGUGGUUUUUCAAAAUGAAGUGUUAUUUAUCAUUUCUGUUUUUUUGCUCUUUGAGUGUAAAUAUCAGAGCAGAAGAUGAGACAGUGUCAGUGGAUAAAAGUGUCUGGGAUAACAUCUACAAUGCAGCCAUAGUUGUAUGCGCCUGUACAGCUAAGCCGAUUCCAACUGUUCCACCACAAAAGUGUAGCAACCGGACACAGUUUGACAGAUUAUCUGUAGUUGAAGUCAGUAAGGCUGCUAGUCUUUGUGAGAACAUAAAUGCUGCCAAUAUAAAAUUGACAGGGUCGCCAAAACGCAAUGAUGGAACCAUGGAGCCAGAAACGACUGCCACCGUGAAGCCAGAAACCAAUGCCACCGUGAAGCCAGAAACGACUGCCACCGUGAAGCCAGAAACGACUGCCACCGUGAAGCCAGAGACGAAUGCCACCGUGAAGCCAGAAACGACUGCCACCGUGAAGCCAGAAACGAAUGCCACCGUGAAGCCAGAGACGAAUGCCACCGUGAAGCCAGAAACGACUGCCACCGUGAAGCCAGAAACGACUGCCACCGUGAAGCCAGAAUCGACUGCCACCGUGAAGCCAGAAACGAAUGCCACCGUGAAGCCAGAAACGAAUGCCACCGUGAAGCCAGAGACGAAUGCCACCGUGAAGCCAGAAACGACUGCCACCGUGAAGCCAGAAACGAAUGCCACCGUGAAGCCAGAGACGAAUGCCACCGUGAAGCCAGAGACGAAUGCCACCGUGAAGCCAGAAACGACUGCCACCGUGAAGCCAGAAACGACUGCCACCGUGAAGCCAGAAACGAAUGCCACCGUGAAGCCAGAGACGAAUGCCACCGUGAAGCCAGAAACGAAUGCCACCGUGAAGCCAGAGACGAAUGCCACCGUGAAGCCAGAAACGACUGCCACCGUGAAGCCAGAAACGACUGCCACCGUGAAGCCAGAAACGAAUGCCACCGUGAAGCCAGAGACGAAUGCCACCGUGAAGCCAGAAACGAAUGCCACCGUGAAGCCAGAAACCAAUGCCACCGUGAAGCCAGAAACGAAUGCCACCGUGAAGCCAGAAACGAAUGCCACCGUGAAGCCAGAAACGAAUGCCACCGUGAAGCCAGAAACCAAUGCCAGAGGAACACCAGGAAGCAAUAGAACGCCAGGAAGCAACAGUGGCCACGAUGCAGCAGCUGGUCAUCAGGUGGCCAACAAGCCGGAGCCGACGAAAGUUGCAAUCCAUGUCGUGGUAAUAGGAGUGUUCUGCGCCUUCGCUGCCGGAGUCCUCGUUGCCAUCGGCUGCAAAUACGCAUACGACCGCUAUAGAAAACGAUCUUACGGGGGUGCGAACAACCGGGCUUAGUGGGCAAAACAACGAAGCAACGUCGCCAAGAGGGUCCUGCCAACAUUUAAGUUCUUCCACCGGAGCAGGGCAUGCAAAUGUGAAAUGGAUUAGAUUUAGUUAGGUAACAUAAUAUAUGUUUUAGAGUACCCGCACACUACAAACUUUUUAUCGGGCUCAUACAUCAGAAAUAAGUACGCACAUUACAAAGGUCUGGUAUUUAGCCGGUAUCAGACAGAAAAUUUUGAUUCGCGUUAUAAUUUUCUUUAAAAAAGAAAAAUUGCCAAACAACGGACAACUGUUUAGUUUGUAGUGUGCGGGUUCUCUUAAUGUUUUUCACGGGUUUAAAGUAGUCAACUAAAUGCUGUUAUGAUCUGAAACAUUAAGCUCGCUUGCACCACCGAUCUUGACACUAAAUCGUAUUACUUAAAGAUACUCUGUUGGAAUUAUGUUUAAGUGUAAGUAGUAAGUUUAAAUUAUUAGAGAAAGAAGUGAUUUUCAAAGCGAUUUAUUAUAUAGGUAGGUACCGUAACCGUAUU
RNA transcript from Helicoverpa armigera (cotton bollworm), 1975 nucleotides. It is a transcript of the gene named mucin-5AC, with no coding region annotated. The transcript has 11 exons. The record is from RefSeq and is a predicted model, not a curated record. NCBI's taxonomy places the organism in Eukaryota, Metazoa, Arthropoda, Insecta, Lepidoptera, Noctuidae.